This 2628-nucleotide long non-coding RNA is filed under the name Homo sapiens (human). RNAcentral describes it as "non-protein coding lnc-ADAMTS15-1:11". The record is from RNAcentral. Lineage: Eukaryota; Metazoa; Chordata; Mammalia; Primates; Hominidae.
AGAAAAUGGGCCCUCUUGGCCGUCGGGACUUGUACUGUUGGUGACUCCGUCUCCUUAGACGGUGGAGCCUGCGUGACCCAGAAAGGCCGCCUCGGGACCCAGACCAGGAUUUCCAUCAGCUCCCCUGGCUCGCAGGCCUUCUGACUUCUGACUCACCAUCAGCUCUCCUGGAUCCAGCUUGCCAAUGGCAGAUCGUGGGACUCCUUGCCCUCUAAUCGCAUGAAACAAUGCCCACAGUUGAUUCCAGAUCCUGGCUACUGUGCAUAGUGCUGCAGUCAACAUGGGAGUGCCGAUAUCUCUUCAAUAUACUGAUUUCCUUUUCCUUGGGUAUCUACCUAACAAGAUGGUGAGCUCCUUAGAGGGAAGUAUAGUACAUAUUUCCUCCAUGUCUCCAGUACCCAACACAGUGCCUGACGUUGAGAGGGCUCUUAAUAAGUGUUUGUGAAAGACUGGUAGAGCAAUGCCCUAUGAAACAAGAAGCUGGAUAACACUGCUUAGGACUCAGAGGAGAGAGGAGUGUGGUCUACACUGCACAUCUCUGCCAAGCCUGGCACGGGAUUUGAAGUUCCACACCACUGAGCCAAACACAUCCAGACCCUCUUCCAACCCGGGGAUCUGGUGGUAAGCAAAAUACUAUUCCAGCAAGUGAUGCCCCCAGUCUCCUAAGGAUAUAAGAAACAGGAAGUUGUGUUUGGCUGCGGACAAACUCUCUCAGUGCCCCUGGGACUUACAAGAUGUUUGGAAUGAGGAACGGUGAGCUCUCCCAAUGCGAGCUCAGCGGAGGCCCCCAGAAAAACGUGGGGAGGAGAGUUUUCCCCAUAAGACAGACUGUCCUUCAGCCCCGGCCACCAAAGAGGAGUAACCCGGGCCUGCUGUUCUCUGGGACUGAAUGCGGCUGCAUCCUUCCCUUCCUCUGCUUCCUGUCCCGGUACUUACUGACGGUGCACAUGCGGGGCUUGGGGAAGCUGAGUGUCUAACCGCGGUGCAGCUACGGAUGGGAAAUUCUGGGCAGGGACGAGCCUGUCUUCACCUGAGGAAUUCCCUCCCACAUCACACAGGGCAGAGUGGGAGUGGAGGAGGGCAGAGGACACGUCUCAGGGCCAGUAACCUAGGCUUAUAGAAGACGUCAUCACCGUCCUCAUGAUGUUCACCCCGUCUCCUGUUUUUUGGGGCCAUGUGUUCCGAAAUGUAGCUUCAACUCAUCAUAGGGGCAAAAAGAAGUGAUGAGUCUGUGGCAGCAGAAAUCUGGGAAUCCAAGGGUCGUGCUACAUCUAGUCCUCUUUGAUAAAUUCUGCCUUCCUGUUCACAUUUUUCGAGAAACCAUUUUGAAUUCCCAAACAGCAAAGGAAAUGCUGCAGGUUCCUGGAGGGACCUGGUGAUCUGGGGCAGAGCACACGGAGUCGAGAUUGCUGCGGGGUUCACGAGCCUCCCCUCCUGGGACCAGGGGCACCUGGGCAGGGUAGUCUGCACCACGCAGGAAAGCCCAGUACACGCAGCUGCUCAACGCUGCAGACGCCAUAGCGCAGGGCUGACAAGGCCUCCCUCUUUAUCUGCCCUGGACCACAAGUGGAAAAUAUCAAGACAAAGCAAAAGCCAGUAUCCCUUAAGAACUUUCCAAUUGUUCUUGUCAUUUGUAGUUUUGUUUUUUGGGGGGUGUGGGGAGGGAGGGGUGGUUUGAAACAACUCCGGAGCACACUCCAGAGGAAAACAGGAAGGGUGACAUGUUUGGACACCAGAAAAGAGGAAGAGUCCUCACUAAGAGGGUGACUUGGUUAAAAAGUUCAAGCACAAAGGAUGUAGAAGCAGGUGGAUGUCAUCAGAGAACAGAUGCGGAUCUAGUGAGAUGGGUCCUACCACCCCUGGAAUAUGUUCCUGGGAGAGGGGUGGUCUGCUAGAGUGGACUGGGAAUAGUAAUAUUGCAUACUUUUGUAAAUUCACAAAACCCUCUGAUCUGUGAUAGAGGAAUAAAGGGCAGAGGAUAAACCCCAGAUAAAGAUUCACUUAUCUUAAAAAUGAAAGGUUGGAAAUUAACUUUAUGCUACUGUACCACCUUCGAAGUAUUUCUGGCAGGUGCCUGGAGGAUUCAGAUUAAUGACCAAAUUACCUGCCAAGUCAGGGCCUCCCAUUAGAAGAGAGUACCAGUUUCCAUUAGGAGCACUAGCUGGAAAACACAAUCUUUCAGCAGAGGAAAUACAGUCUUCUCUCCUUCUCUGGGUGCACAGAGUGGUCGUGGUUGGCUGGGGCAGAUAAUGGUGUGGUCUUCCUCUGCAGAUCUGGUUUCUGAGUCCCUGGGCUGCAGCUGUUGAAUUUCCAGACACAAACAAGUAUGCGUUCUGAGAGCCUCGCCGAGCCCACACAACCGGGAGAGCCAAGCUGGAUUCCAUUCUGCUUUGCACAUCAGCAGCUCUGCUGCCAGCUGAACUCCAGGGCAAAAGCUGUGCCUGGUAAUGAUGCAGGCAGCAGGGAUGGCACAGCUGGCCUGGCUUAGGCCGUUAAGGGGGACACGCUUGGCCUUAUUUGGGGGAGAGCGAGAAAUGGAAGGCGAUGAAGAGUUGCGGAAGCAUACAUCAGCCUCCACAAAACUGGUGCACAGCAGGGAAACAAUCUGGUUUUGCUAGUCAUCAACAA